AACGCUGGCGGCAUGCUUACACAUGCAAGUCGCACGGGCAGCUUCGGCUGUCAGUGGCGGACGGGUGAGUAACGCGUAGGUAUCUAUCCUCGGGUGGGGGACAACCACGGGAAACUGUGGCUAAUACCGCAUGAUGACUGAGGUCCAAAGGCGCAAGUCGCCUGGGGAGGAGCCUGCGUCCGAUUAGCUUGUUGGUGGGGUAAUGGCCUACCAAGGCUCCGAUCGGUAGCUGGUCUGAGAGGAUGAUCAGCCACACUGGGACUGAGACACGGCCCAGACUCCUACGGGAGGCAGCAGUGGGGAAUAUUGGACAAUGGGCGAAAGCCUGAUCCAGCAAUGCCGCGUGGGUGAAGAAGGUCUUCGGAUUGUAAAGCCCUUUCGGCGGGGACGAUGAUGACGGUACCCGCAGAAGAAGCCCCGGCUAACUUCGUACCAGCAGCCGC
Molecule: ribosomal RNA, 443 nt
Filed under: uncultured bacterium
Lineage: Bacteria
Description: bacterial SSU rRNA
Rfam family: Bacterial small subunit ribosomal RNA
Source: RNAcentral